AGCUAACGCAUUAAGUGUACCGCCUGGGGAGUACGGUCGCAAGAUUAAAACUCAAAGGAAUAGACGGGGACCCGCACAAGCGGUGGAGCAUGUGGUUUAAUUCGAAGAUACGCGAAGAACCUUACCUGGGCUUGAUAUCCUAAGAACCUUUUAGAGAUAAGAGGGUGCUAGCUUGCUAGAACUUAGAGACAGGUGCUGCACGGCUGUCGUCAGCUCGUGUCGUGAGAUGUUGGGUUAAGUCCCGCAACGAGCGCAACCCACGUAUUUAGUUGCUAACGGUUCGGCCGAGCACUCUAAAUAGACUGCCUUCGUAAGGAGGAGGAAGGUGUGGACGACGUCAAGUCAUCAUGGCCCUUAUGCCCAGGGCGACACACGUGCUACAAUGGCAUAUACAAUGAGACGCAAUACCGUGAGGUGGAGCAAAUCUAUAAAAUAUGUCCCAGUUCGGAUUGUUCUCUGCAACUCGAGAGCAUGAAGCCGGAAUCGCUAGUAAUCGUAGAUCAGCCAUGCUACGGUGAAUACGUUCCCGGGUCUUGUACUCACCGCCCGUCACACCAUGGGAGUUGAUUUCACUCGAAGCCGGAAUACUAAACUAGUUACCGUCCACAGUGGAAUCAGCGACUGGGGUGAAGUCGUAACAAGGUAACCGUAGGAGAACCUGCGGUUGGAUCACCUCCUUUCUA
Molecule: ribosomal RNA, 683 nt
Filed under: Campylobacter jejuni
Lineage: Bacteria; Pseudomonadati; Campylobacterota; Epsilonproteobacteria; Campylobacterales; Campylobacteraceae
Description: bacterial SSU rRNA
Rfam family: Bacterial small subunit ribosomal RNA
Source: RNAcentral